ANUCCUAUGGGGGGUAGCAGUGAGGAAUAUUGCGCAAUGGGGGAAACCCUGACGCAGCGACGCCGCGUGGGUGAGGAAGGCUUUCGGGUCGUAAAGCCCUGUCAGAAGGGAAGAAAUGUGUAAUGGUUAAUACCCAUUGCACUUGACGGUACCUUCAAAGGAAGCACCGGCUAACUCCGUGCCAGCAGCCGCGGUAAUACGGAGGGUGCAAGCGUUGUUCGGAAUCACUGGGCGUAAAGGGCGCGCAGGCGGUUUGAUUAGUCAGAUGUGAAAGCCCACGGCUUAACCGUGGAAGUGCAUUUGAAACUGUCAGACUUGAGUACCAGAGGGGGUAGUGGAAUUCCCGGUGUAGAGGUGAAAUUCGUAGAUAUCGGGAGGAAUACCGGUGGCGAAGGCGACUACCUGGCUGGAUACUGACGCUGAGGCGCGAAAGCGUGGGGAGCAAACAGGAUUAGAUACCCUGGUAGUCCACGCCGUAAACGAUGUGAACUAGGUGUAGGGGGUGUUGAUCCCCUCUGUGCCGCAGCUAACGCAUUAAGUUCACCGCCUGGGGAGUACGGUCGCAAGAUUAAAACUCAAAUGAAUUGACGGA
RNAcentral lists this ribosomal RNA (592 nucleotides) under uncultured bacterium. RNAcentral's name for it is "bacterial SSU rRNA". It matches the Rfam family "Bacterial small subunit ribosomal RNA", at positions 335 to 917 of the family's 1533-position model. The record is from RNAcentral.